CACCCCAUUGUGACACAACAAAAAGCAAUCCAAACAUUAAAAGCCCCGAACUGUGAAUACCUGUUCAGAUUCCAAAUCCAUGCGACACCUUCUCCAUCUCCUUCUCCACGUAGAAAACCCCUAAUCCCCUCAUGUUUCGCAGACUCCAUUCCUCUCUCUCUUGCUCUAACACCACUCUCUCCUCUCCAAUCUUUCACCACAAAAAAACCCCAAUCUUUCACCACAAAAAAACCUUUCUUUCCAUUCACUCCAAACCUACCUCCCUCUCUCAACCUCAUCGUUUCCCUUCAGCCCCACUAAGAUUCUUUGCUUCUUGCUCCAAAAUGAGCGAAACCCAGAAACCUAAACUCACUAUUCCACCUCCCGAUAAAGUCUCAAAGCCUGAAAUGCUACGUGCCCUUGAGUUCUCAUUGGGUUCUUCCUUCAGUACUAACCCAAUUUUCCCCCCUCCAAAUCCUUUGAUCAUUGUAAUUAGUGGCCCAAGUGGGGUUGGAAAAGAUGCUAUUAUCAAGAAAUUGAGACAAGUUAGAGAAAGUUUGCAUUUUGUUGUGACUGCCACUAGUAGGCCAAUGAGAGAAGGGGAGGUUGAUGGUAAAGAUUAUUACUUUGUGUCAAAGGAAGAAUUUUUAUCAAUGGUUGAGAGAAAUGAGUUGCUAGAGUAUGCACUUGUGUAUGGUGAUUAUAAAGGUAUACCAAAAAAGCAAAUUAGGGAGUUUAUGGAAAAAGGGCAUGACAUAGUUUUGAGAGUUGAUGUCCAAGGAGCUGAGACUUUGCGGAAGAUUUUGGGGAAUUCUGCUGUCUUUAUAUAUUUAGUGGCAGAGAGUGAGUUGGAACUUGUGAAGAGGUUGAUUGAUAGGAAGACUGAGACUAGUGAGGCUUUGCUUGUGAGAAUUGCGACUGCGAGAGAGGAGGUCAAGCAUGUUAGGGAUUUCGAUUAUGUGGUGGUGAACGGUGAAGGGAAGUUGGAUAGUGCAGUUAAGUUGGUGGAAUCUAUUAUUGAUGCUGAGAAGGCCAAGGUCAGGCAAAGGAGGGCUGUGAUUUAGUCGAGGGCUUAAAGUAUUGUUCUCGAGAUAUAUUCCCCUUGUUGUAUCUGUAACGAAUAUCCUUAGUCUUAUAAUUGAGUAUCCAGGAGGUAUGGGACAUCAGAAGUUAAAAAAUGUUGGUGACUAAGUUACUUUAGAAACUUGGCUCGAGUAAUUUGUAGCCAGGAAAUAUCUUGCACAUGGACAAGUAUUCAGAAUGGAAGUUGCAAAAUCUGCCAUUAUGUGAGAAGAGACACUAGUGGGAGUGGGAAUGGAUCUGUGUAAGUUUAAUGGAGCUCAUCUUAGCUUGUGGUUUAGGCAUAGUUGGAUUGUGCAAUAACGGGAGAGGAAAACAUAGGAAUAGGAUAAUUUUAUUUUACCAUUUCAAAGUCUAUGUUAGCACUUGAAGAAGGAACCUCCUUUUGCAUAGCCGGAACGACAUAUGGAUCAUUGGUCGAUUUCUCAGCUAGCAGAAUAUGGAGCUCUCAUUUAAGUCGAAGUUUGAGUUGUUUUAAGCCAGUUUGGUAUUGCGGUGCAUUUUCAUGUUUGUUUUCUUGUGGUGUACUGCAAUAUCAAAAGAAGUCUUGAGCAUCUUUGUCUUUGUGUGUGGAACAAUGUUAGCAUGUGCUUUAAAAAAUAUUAAAUUAAUAAUUAUUUUCAGUA
This is an RNA transcript of Populus trichocarpa (black cottonwood), 1685 nucleotides long. It is a transcript of the gene named guanylate kinase 3, chloroplastic, with no coding region annotated. The transcript has 4 exons. NCBI's taxonomy places the organism in Eukaryota, Viridiplantae, Streptophyta, Magnoliopsida, Malpighiales, Salicaceae. The record is from RefSeq and is a predicted model, not a curated record.